AAGAAAUAGUCAAUGCACUCAUAAACAUAAAAUCUGUCACAUUCAGAAUCAGGGUCACCCCCCUAGCAAUGGGGGGUUUAGCUACUCAUAAUCGAAAUAAAAACAAAGAUUAACAGUGUUGUCAUUACAGAAUUUCGUGAGGAAUCAAUCUUCAAUCGUCGGAAAACUCUUGAACAUAUGAAUCCUCUGAUAAUCGUAGAGUCUCCAGGUCUCAAACGCGUCUCUUUUUCUCUGAAAAUU
This 240-nucleotide long non-coding RNA is filed under the name Lathyrus oleraceus (garden pea). RNAcentral describes it as "Pisum sativum (pea) long non-coding RNA (PSAT_LNC022627)". The record is from RNAcentral. Lineage: Eukaryota; Viridiplantae; Streptophyta; Magnoliopsida; Fabales; Fabaceae.